UAUUAAAAUUUUUAUUCAUUUAUAUUGUUAAAAACUAGUGUGGUUGACAGAAUAAUUAGACAGUGACAUGUGACGUGCCACGUGUACCUCAUGCUAACGUACACGGAUCAAUUUUUAACAACAGAAUUGGAUCAAAUGUUUAAUA
RNAcentral lists this microRNA precursor (145 nucleotides) under Gossypium arboreum. RNAcentral's name for it is "MIR7502 microRNA precursor family". It matches the Rfam family "MIR7502 microRNA precursor family". Lineage: Eukaryota; Viridiplantae; Streptophyta; Magnoliopsida; Malvales; Malvaceae. The record is from Rfam by way of RNAcentral.